Molecule: transfer RNA, 84 nt
Filed under: Pilatotrama ljubarskyi
Lineage: Eukaryota; Fungi; Basidiomycota; Agaricomycetes; Polyporales; Polyporaceae
Description: tRNA-Ala
Source: RNAcentral
GGGCAUGUGGUGUAGUUGGUUAUCACGCUCGCUUAGCAUACGUGCACCUGCGAGAGGGGUCCGGUUCAAUCCCGGACAUGUCCA